Molecule: ribosomal RNA, 440 nt
Filed under: uncultured bacterium
Lineage: Bacteria
Description: partial 16S ribosomal RNA
Rfam family: Bacterial small subunit ribosomal RNA
Source: RNAcentral
CCUACGGGAGGCAGCAGUGGGGAAUAUUGCACAAUGGGGGGAACCCUGAUGCAGCGACGCCGCGUGGGUGAGGAAGUACUUCGGUAUGUAAAGCCCUAUCAGCAGGGAAGAAAAUGACGGUACCUGACUAAGAAGCCCCGGCUAACUACGUGCCAGCAGCCGCGGUAAUACGUAGGGGGCAAGCGUUAUCCGGAUUUACUGGGUGGAAAGGGAGCGUAGACGGCGUGACAAGUCUGAUGUGAAAGGCCGGGGCUCAACCCCGGGACUGCAUUGGAAACUGGCAUGCUGGAGUGCAGGAGGGGCAAGCGGAAUUCCUAGUGUAGCGGUGAAAUGCGCAGAGAUUAGGAGGAACACCGGUGGCGAAGGCGGCUUGCUGGACGGUAACUGACGUUGAGGCGCGAAAGCGUGGGGAGCAAACAGGAUUAGAUACCCCGGUAGUC